GAUGAACGCUGGCGGCGUGCCUAAUACAUGCAAGUCGAGCGAACAGACGAGGAGCUUGCUCCUUUGACGUUAGCGGCGGACGGGUGAGUAACACGUAGGUAACCUACCUUUAAUACUGGGAUAACUUCGGGAAACCGGAGCUAAUACCGGAUAAUAUUUCGCACCGCAUGGUUCGAUAGUGAAAGAUGGCUUUUCUAUCACUUAUCGAUGGACCUGCGCCGUAUUAGCUAGUUGGUAAGGUAACGGCUUACCAAGGCAACGAUACGUAGCCGACCUGAGAGGGUGAUAGGCCACAUUGGAACUGAGACACGGUCCAGACUCCUAAGGGAGGCAGCAGUAGGGAAUCGGCCGCAAUGGGAGAAAGCCUGACGGAGCAACGCCGCGUGAGUGAUGAAGGUCUUCGGAUCGUAAAACUCUGUUAUUAGGGAAGAACAAACGUGUAAGUAACUGUGCACGGAUUGACGGUAACUAAUCAGAAAGCCACGGCUAACUACGUG
Molecule: ribosomal RNA, 497 nt
Filed under: uncultured bacterium
Lineage: Bacteria
Description: partial 16S ribosomal RNA
Rfam family: Bacterial small subunit ribosomal RNA
Source: RNAcentral